CAGUCAUCUGUAAAAGUAACAAAGAAAUAAAUGUAGCUUAAGGAGCAUGAAAAUCAGAUUAAAUUACAUGAGCAGUUAAAUAAAUACUCUACUUCAUAAAUUAAUACAUAUACAUUCAUGCAUAACCAUAAAUAGUCACUUCAGCAUACUUUUACGAUCAGCUUGUCAAAUCGUAAUAUAUGGGACUGUCAAGUUAACCUUUUAACACAUGCGAACAAAUAUUUAGGGCUGUUAAAGUUUGUGGAAUGUAAACCAUUUGUUUAUGCUUUGAAUUUCCCGUGCGGAAGACUUUUUUUAAGACUUUUUUUUUUGGUCUCAGUACUGUAUAAAAACAAAGACAUGGUAUGGAAAAUCAAGCCUUGUGCAUUAUAGGGAAUAAUAUUCUGAAUAUUUUUCAGGAGGUUUAAUACCUUUAUCUCGAACGCCAUCAGAGUUUAAUGAAUUUAAGUAUGUACAGUAUAUUAAACAUUAAAAUAUGGAUUCAUUAUUGUAUAUAAAACAGUAAAGGCAUAAUUUGAAAAUCAAAGCCUUGUACAUCAUAGGAAAAAAAUCUGAAUAUUUUACAGUAAAAAAAAAAACAUAGAUAGGUUAACAUGAAUGUGGUUAAUGAGCAACAUCCUAAUUACAGUAACAGUUUUUGUCGACAUGUGAAGUAAAUGUCAGUAAAUCAGUAAAUUUAUAUUUCUAGUUCUCAAGAAAGUUAAUGUUAUUUUUUUCCCCCUUCUAAGCACUUCCAAGAACUUCUUGAUUGUCGUUUAUGGAUUCCUCAUGAAAUUCAGGUUUGUUGGCUUGGAUGGACCAAGUGUCGGUUUCACUGGAAAAACUCUGAUUGUGUCUGAUGAAUGGCACAGAGGAUUGGCCAUAGAUGUGCCUUGCUGCUUUUCAAAAAGGCAUUGGAGUCUGAAAGCCCCACACCUUCCACUACCUAAUUAAAGCUGAGGCAGUUGUGGCCUGAAUUUUUUUUGUGUGUGUGUGUUUUGUGUGUGUGUUUGUUUCUGGCUGUUGACCGGGGGUGGUCACUGAUUGCCAUGAUAACAAUAGCUGGUAAGUUAACAUCAACUAAAUUGUCUAGAAAAAAACCUUUACUUAAACAUAGAAGUAUACAUUUUGUAGGAGUGUUAAUUGAUUCAUCGUGAUGCGGACGUGGACGAUUCUGCAUCAAUGCAGUAAUAGACCAUAAUCAAUUAUUGCCUACGACAGCGCUUCCACUCGCUGUUAUUUUAGUCUAUUUUAGUCUGUUAUUUUACUUUAGAUAUGCUUUCAUUUCUGCUGUUUAGAAUGCAGUACGUAUUCAAUGCACAAAACUCACGCACUGACAGACAUUCACAUGUGCUUUGUGUUUGUUUGUCCUGAAGCUCGCGGCUGUAGUUAAAUGCACUUGCAUCUACUUUUAUGAUACAAAAUUAAUGUAAACGGUCAGUUAUGUUUUCAGAACAGGACAAAGCAUCUGAUAUGUGGAAAUGGAUCUUUGCAUUAGUGUGAAUGCAGGCAAUAAUGCUGAUUAAAAAGAAAAGCCCAUAACUAUGAUUAUCUGUAAACUUUCAAUACUUAAAGCACUCCCAGAUACUGAAAGUGAUUUUUGUUUAUCACUUGUAGUUGUCUUUCCCCCUUUAUUACUUUAUAUUUGCCUGUAUGCCAAAUUAAAUCAUAAAAUCAUUUCACACCCAUAACAUUUUGUAUUUUGCCUCUUUAAUGUAAGUUAGUUUAGCUGGAGGAUUAAGUGAUUCUUGGAUUCUUAACUGCAAAUGUGAAUAUAGUUUCCCAAUGCCUAAUAACACAUGUGACCAAGAUGACUACAUAUCCAAAAUAAUGACACAAAUAUUACUUAAAGUGAAAAUUAAGUACCUUAAAGUAAUAGCUGGCAGGGAAAAAACUCUGUGGAGGCGGCAGUGGAGGAUGACACAAAAUCUAUUAAAUCAAAGAAAGCAUAGUAAUAUAAUACUCACAAUUGUUGACAUUACAAUACACAAGGAUAGAGCAUUGUCCUUAACAAAUACUGCAUGUACUUUGUUGAAUUACGCUAUGAAUCAACAUGAGUAUCAAAGAUGAAUCCAAAAUCAAACACUAAGAAUGUGCCUGAUGCUUAAAAAAACAGCUUAGAGCAUUGGAUGCCAAUGGUCUGUUUAAAGACAAGCAAAAGGGGAGACAAUAUUGCAUAGAUCUGUAUUGAUAGAUAUGUGCUAAAUAACUUCUAACUAAAUAACUAAAGUCUUUAAAGUAGCUUAAGAGAUUAAUAACUAUAGUCUUUAAAGAAAAAAAAAUAUUUCCAAAUCAACUCAUUAUGAACGUGUUACAUUUAAAUUGAUAGAACAGGAUCAUAAAUUUAAUGUCUUUAGACACUGACUCCGACUUGCUGCACAAUAAGGUUUAAUUGAUCUAAAACUAGAUAAAGCCAACGACACACUCUGUACUGUGGCUAUGGAAAGAGCCUUUGGGUUGUAUGUUGGUGCCGCUGACACAAGCAGAAGAAGGAAAAAUAGGAAACCUUACUGAUUAUGAGUGAGAUUGUAAACAUCUGCAUGGAUUAAAAAUGUAUGCAAUUUACAGCAGUCAUUGUUCACUAAAAUGAUCAUGGCCAAUCAUAAAUGCAGGAUACUACAUUGUAUUUUAGAAGAACAUCCCUUCUCAUGUCUUUAUGACUCAGACUUGCUG
Long non-coding RNA from Cyprinus carpio (common carp), 2652 nucleotides. RefSeq lists it as uncharacterized. The record is from RefSeq and is a predicted model, not a curated record. Lineage: Eukaryota; Metazoa; Chordata; Actinopteri; Cypriniformes; Cyprinidae.